Coniochaeta pulveracea is the source of this 87-nucleotide non-coding RNA. NCBI's taxonomy places the organism in Eukaryota, Fungi, Ascomycota, Sordariomycetes, Coniochaetales, Coniochaetaceae. The record is from the annotation of a GenBank genome assembly.
GCGUCGAUGGUGAAAGGGCUAUCAUCUGCGCUUCCCAUUCCAACGUGAACCCUGCGCAGGGUCCGAGUUCGAGUCUCGGUCGACGCA